This 485-nucleotide ribosomal RNA is filed under the name uncultured bacterium. RNAcentral describes it as "bacterial SSU rRNA". It matches the Rfam family "Bacterial small subunit ribosomal RNA", at positions 28 to 507 of the family's 1533-position model. The record is from RNAcentral.
GAUGAACGCUAGCUACAGGCUUAACACACGCAAGUCGAGGGGCAGCACUAGGUAGCAAUACUGAGGUGGCGACCGGCGCACGGGUGCGUAACGCGUAUCCAACCUUCCCGGUACUCUUGGAUAGCCUUCCGAAAGGGAGAUUAAUACAAGAUGGUGUUUCAAUUCCGCAUGUUAUUGAAACUAAAGAUUUAUCGGUAUCGGAUGGGGAUGCGUGACAUUAGAUAGUAGGCGGGGUAACGGCCCACCUAGUCUACGAUGUCUAGGGGUUCUGAGAGGAAGGUCCCCCACACUGGUACUGAGACACGGACCAGACUCCUACGGGAGGCAGCAGUGAGGAAUAUUGGUCAAUGGGCGAGAGCCUGAACCAGCCAAGUCGCGUGAGGGAUGACGGUACUAAGUAUUGUAAACCUCUUUUGUCAGGGAACAAAGAGACCACGUGUGGUAAGAUGAGUGUACCUGAAGAAAAAGCAUCGGCUAACUCCGUG